Felis catus (domestic cat) is the source of this 2013-nucleotide long non-coding RNA. RefSeq lists it as uncharacterized. The transcript is spliced from 3 exons. Lineage: Eukaryota; Metazoa; Chordata; Mammalia; Carnivora; Felidae. The record is from RefSeq and is a predicted model, not a curated record.
CCAUAAAAGCAGCAGCCUGGGGUUGCCAAGUGAUUACGAUAAAGGAGCACUUUGAUGAAGACGGUAACUCAGCAGAGGAAUACACAGGGUACCCGGCCGAGAAGUCCCUCUCUGAGAGUCAUCAAAAUUCAGUAGGACAAACCAGUUUUAGGGCUUGGGAGGCAGCCAGGUUCUUUUCCACCGUUUUCUCAGAAAUCAUUAAUCAAAUGCCUUCUCAAGUCCAGCACACUCUGCACUUUUCCUGUACAAAGGCUGCCAUUUAGUUUCUACCGACCUGUCACUGAUUGACAGAGGCCUGCAGAAACGUACAAGUGUCUGUUACUUAUGUUUAACUGACUCAAGAGUUUCGAAGAACACUCUGCUGAACUCUGGCCCCGUGUGCCCAGCCUGGGACGGGGGACUUAGCAUGUGAAGAUUUGUCCAGCAAGUACCUUCAAGGUCUCUUGGAAGGUUGGGUCCACGGUGUUCCUUUGGACUCCAGUCUUGCGUUUUCCCUGGGAGGAUCUGUCAGGCAGCAGUUUCCAAGUACCAGUACAGACAUUAUUUUGUUAAUUUCUCACACCAGCCAUGAGAAACAAGCCAGAGGAAUAUAAUUAUUUCCACCUCCCAAGUGGGAACACAGAAGAGGAGCCCGCAGCCCUGCCUGGAUCUGCUCCUCCCGACAGGGCAUUACUUCCCGGUAUCGGAACGUGGCCAAGGAGCACCACGCUGCCGGUGUCCCUGCCUCGCGCCCCACCUGCGUCGCCUAAAGGAGCCCAGCCGCUCUGGGACCCAGACUCCACGCACGUGUCUGAUAUGGACGUGCGCGUUCUCUCGGCCCAAACCGCACCAGCAGAAGUGCCAAAAAUUCCGUGGAUGUCAUAAAUCAUUAAAUCGAGCAUGAGAGGAAUAAGAAGUUUGUGAUGGCGGAGUAAAAGAAAUGAAGAGGUCCCAAGAUUGGAAAAUCUCAUUAUGGGCCAAAAAAAAAAAAAAAAAAAGCUGCUGGUGGGGAGCUUUCAGCAACACUUCAAUAAAUUCGAUGCAAUCAGGGGCGCCUGGGUGGCGCAGUUGGUUAAGCGUCCGACUUCAGCCAGGUCACGAUCUCGCGGUCCGUGAGUUCGAGCCCCGCGUCAGGCUCUGGGCUGAUGGCUCGGAGCCUGGAGCCUGUUUCCAAUUCUGUGUCUCCCUCUCUCUCUGCCCCUCCUCCGUUCAUGCUCUGUCUCUCUCUGUCCCAAAAAUAAAUAAAAAACGUUGAAAAAAAAAAUUAAAAAAAAAUUCGGUGCAAUCAGGUGUGUGAAUUGUUGCCAGCUUCAAGAACGCUGGGUGUUUAGGAUGUGCAUCAAGAAGUUAGCAUCUCGCAGAGUCUCCACUUCAUUUCCAUUGGAUUACGCAGAUGUCUGAGGCGUCAGGCACUGGGCAUGAUGUUGGAGACAGGAGUGAUUCGUAAAACAAACGCUCGGUUUAGAAUUUCAUUUAAGAUGCCAUCAAAAAUAAUAUUUCGUUUCCUUACAACAUUUCAGAAGAAUGUAAGCAAUAAAACCUGUCGUGAGAAAAUGCUCUGUGAGCUGCUAAGAAGGCUUUUCAUAAGAAUCUGGAAAUAUCUCUGUUUAAAUCUUUUCCAGGCACUUUAUCAUUUAAAAAAAAAAAAAAGUCACAUUCCAAAGCAGCCAGGUCUGAAAGUCAAGAGAUCUAGAAGUUCUUUCAGCGAGUCCUUGGUGCUCCAGGCCUGGAGGGGCCAGGACGGUCUGGUCUGGUAUAGCACUCACCUCAGUUCCUGAUAAGAUUGCAAGAGCUUUGCUCCAGCUCUGUCGUGUUUGCCUGGAAGAGAUACCAGGAAAGGUCACUCAUUAGUAAGAAGACAACCUUGGGGAGGCAAACACAGAAAGUAAUCGAUUAGAAUUCUUAUUUUUCUAAUACCACUUCUUGCAAUUAAAAAGUAAAAAACUGUCUUGGGGGUGACAGAAAGGCCCUAGGGGGCGCCUGGGUGGCACAGUCAGUUAAGCGUCCGACUUCAGCUCAGGUCAUGAUCUCACC